UCGAGCGGAUGAAAGUAGCUUGCUACUNNNAUUCAGCGGCGGACGGGUGAGUAAUGCUUAGGAAUCUGCCUAUUAGUGGGGNNNACAUCUCGAAAGGGAUGCUAAUACCGCAUACGUCCUACGGGAGAAAGCAGGGGAUCUUCGGACCUUGCGCUAAUAGAUGAGCCUAAGUCGGAUUAGCUAGUUGGUGGGGUAAAGGCCUACCAAGGCGACGAUCUGUAGCGGGUCUGAGAGGAUGAUCCGCCACACUGGGACUGAGACACGGCCCAGACUCCUACGGGAGGCAGCAGUGGGGAAUAUUGGACAAUGGGGGGAACCUGAUCCAGCCAUGCCGCGUGUGUGAAGAAGGCCUUUUGGUUGUAAAGCACUUUAAGCGAGGAGGAG
This 384-nucleotide ribosomal RNA is filed under the name Acinetobacter sp. N14921UB06_16S_27f. Its description in RNAcentral is "bacterial SSU rRNA". It matches the Rfam family "Bacterial small subunit ribosomal RNA", at positions 62 to 449 of the family's 1533-position model. Lineage: Bacteria; Pseudomonadati; Pseudomonadota; Gammaproteobacteria; Moraxellales; Moraxellaceae. The record is from RNAcentral.